RNAcentral lists this ribosomal RNA (253 nucleotides) under uncultured bacterium. RNAcentral's name for it is "partial 16S ribosomal RNA". It matches the Rfam family "Bacterial small subunit ribosomal RNA", at positions 524 to 776 of the family's 1533-position model. The record is from RNAcentral.
UACAGAGGUCUCAAGCGUUGUUCGGAUUCAUUGGGCGUAAAGGGCGCGCAGGCGGUCUGGCAAGUUUGGAGUGACAGUGCUCGGCUUAACUGAGCAAGGCCUUCGAAAACUGCUAGACUUGAGCACUCAAGAGGGACAUAGAAUUCCGGGUGGAGUGGUGAAAUGCGUAGAUAUCCGGAGGAAUACCAAAGGCGAAGGCAGUGUCCUGGGGAGUGUCUGACGCUCAGGCGCGAAAGCUAGGGGAGCGAACAGG